GCAAUCCCACACGGGCGCCCCACGGUAGGGGCUGAGAUCGCGCUACACGCCGCGCGGGCACCGUCCGAACCUGUCUGGUUAGCACCAGCGAAGGAAGUUGAAGGAGUGUCAUG
RNAcentral lists this non-coding RNA (113 nucleotides) under Corynebacterium imitans. RNAcentral's name for it is "TPP sequence". It matches the Rfam family "TPP riboswitch aptamer (THI element)". From Rfam's summary of the family: Vitamin B(1) in its active form thiamin pyrophosphate (TPP) is an essential coenzyme that is synthesised by coupling of pyrimidine and thiazole moieties in bacteria. The previously detected thiamin-regulatory element, thi box was extended, resulting in a new, highly conserved RNA secondary structure, the THI element, which is widely distributed in eubacteria and also occurs in some archaea. Analysis of operon structures identified a large number of new candidate thiamin-regulated genes, mostly transporters, in various prokaryotic organisms. Lineage: Bacteria; Bacillati; Actinomycetota; Actinomycetes; Mycobacteriales; Corynebacteriaceae. The record is from Rfam by way of RNAcentral.